This is a non-coding RNA of Rattus norvegicus (Norway rat), 2367 nucleotides long. The record is from RefSeq and is a predicted model, not a curated record. Lineage: Eukaryota; Metazoa; Chordata; Mammalia; Rodentia; Muridae.
CAACCCCUUAUAUAGUGUCAGGCGUGGCUGGCUGUUGCCAGGCAACUGCGGGGGUGGAGCUUAGACAGAAUACCGACAACUACUGUAGAGAAUCAUCUGGCCAUCUUGGCAAAGAGAAACGAUCUGAGCAGAAACUACUUUUACCAAACAGUAAAGAUAUUUGCCAACUGGCCAAAGCCCAGGGAACGAAGGGCCUGACCAGCAUAGGGACGUCUAUCAGGAGAUCCUCCCUCUGCAACAAGACUCCAUAUCACCUCUGCCUUCCGAGGCUUGCAGAGGAAGUGGCUUUGCUUCCACACAGAGGUAGUACUAGGAAACUGGCCUGGACACGUUAGCCAUGAAAAUCUGCCUUUCAGUAAAAACUUCUCAUUAUUUAAAUGAUUUCACGUUUUUCAAGCUUCUGGCUGAGUACUUAUCUGUCACCCACGUCACCCACAAAGCCCGGGAUGAUCGACAGCAUUACAGAUUGAGGUUGGGAGGCUGCUAGUCUCACAGUUUAAGAAGAGAAAGGAAAAGAAAUUCAAAGGAAGGCCAAAGAGAUCGAGGAAACGGUAACCAAAAAAUAAGAAUUCAACAAGACCAGCUGGACGCAUGUGAUUGCUUUUAUGAUCCAUUUUGGCAAAACAAGAGGAGAAGGACAGGAGAAAGUGCAGAAGAAGAAAGGGCAAUGUGGUGAUGUGAUUCUGGAGAAAGAGAGGGGUUGAAGUGAUCUAGUCACAAAUCUAGGGAUGUGGGUAACCCUCAACCUGAUAAGAACUCAGAUAAGACAGCAAAAUAGAACCGAGGCCAGGGUGGUGGCCGCUUCCCUGGAACAGGUGACAAUGUUCCCACCACCUCCUUCUGAGAAACCUCAUCAGGCAAGGCUUUCAUUAGAGCAUGGUGACCUUAUGACUAGAUACGAUUUGCUGAGGAUUUAGGGACUUGGGGUUGGCUCAAAUACUAUAGAUAAGCAUAUGCACUUUGCAAUAAAUUCAGGUCUGCACCCUGAUGCUAGUCCCUGGAGUCUGAUUCCUGGGAUUCAUCACAUGAUUCCAUCACCUCUCGCUCCCCACCCUGGACCCUGUUCCCACACCCCUCUGCCACUGUGCCUGGCUGAGUCACUGUCACUUCUCAUUUUAAGUUACCAAAUCAGCCUCCCGACUCCUCUCUGCAUCCUCCCCUCUUACAGACCACAGGAUCUACCCCGUGGCCCCUUUCUCACCCAAUGCAAAAUCUGAAGUUUUUGUGAUGACUUCAGACCUCUUUGAGGCUGGGCCCCUGUUGCUCCACACUUUAUCUCCUUUUCUGCAAUAUCUGUCAUUCCUCUUAGUCACCCUGGCUGCUUUCCUGUUCUGAAUACUCUAAGGAGACUCUUGUUUUCGGGCUCCGUACUUGUUAUUCUCUCAGACAGACAUCUUGUUCCCUCACCUCUGUCAACUAUUCUUUUUAAAUGUUAACUUCUCCGUGAGAUUUCCCUGGCCAACUUAUCUCAAGCCUGUACCUUCAAUCUGUUCUCUCACCUCCUGAUGUACUCCUGCUUUGGUUUUCUUACUCGUAUUUAUAACUAUGGCUUUUACUUAUUUAUUGUGUUGGACCCCGUUCUCUGAGACUUCCGUGAGGAUGUGGAUUUUCACUAUUUUGAUCUAGGAUCAUAUUCCCAACACCUGAAGCAGUACCCAGCAUAGAGCAACUGCUCAAGACAAAUCCGUGUGUAAUGACUGUCAGAAUGCACAUCCUAGUGGCGUUUUAGGCUAAGGAGGGUAGAGAAAUUCAUACCACUUUCACCAGAGACCUGUGCAUCUCAUAUAUAACUUUUAAUUAAGAGUCACACAUGUUGUUGCUGGUGACUCAUACCUGUAACCAAGGUCUUGAGGCUGAGACAGGAGGAUUAUGGAGAAUGUGAGGCUAGCCUAAUGUGGUGGUUUGAAUGAGAAUAACCCCUUGUCAACUCCUCUGUUUGAAUACUUGACACCUAGUUAGUGGAACCAUUUGGCAAGGAUUAGGAGGUGUGGCCGUUGGAGAAGCUGUGUCCCUGGGGGUGGGGUCUAGGGUUUCAAAAUCCUAUGCCAUUCCCAGUGUGCUCUGCCUCCUGCUAGGAGAUUUUAGGUGUGAGCUCUCAACUCUUCCUGCCACCAUGCUGUCACUUCCUAGCACCACACAUCACUAUCAUGGUCUCUACCUAACCCUCUGAGAGUGCCAAUCCAAUUAAAUGUUUUAUUUUAUAACUUGCCUUAGUCAUGGUUAAGAGGGGGUUAAGUAGAGGAUCCUCUGGGGAAAAAAGAAUGAAAAUUCUUGAAUUUUCUCUGGCUUCAGACAUUUUUCCCUGAGAUGUUCAAUUCUUUCAUUUACAUGGAUUUUAGUUCUAUUGAAAUUCUCCUGCUAAUAUGA